AGCUGGUGAGGUCAGGUCUACCAGGUGACCAUCGGUAGCUGGUCUGACAGGAUGACCAGCCACACUGGAACUGAGACACAGUCCAGACUCCUACGGGAGGCAGCACUGGGGAAUAUUGGACAAUGGGGGCAACCCUGAUCCAGCAAUGCCGCGUGUGUGAAGAAGGCCUGAGGGUUGUAAAGCUAUUUCAGUGGGGAGGAGGAGUGAUUGGUUAAGAGAUGAUUACUUAGACGUUACCCACAUAAGAAACACCGGCUAACACCGUACCAUCAGCCGCGGUAUUACUGAGGGUGCAAGCGUUAAACGGAAUUACUGGGCGUAAAGGGUGCGUAGGUGGUUAUGUAACAUUAUGUGUGAUAUAUCAGGGAACAACCUGGGUGACGUCAUAUAAUACUGCGCAAUACGAGUGUGGCAGAUGGU
Molecule: ribosomal RNA, 420 nt
Filed under: uncultured Legionella sp.
Lineage: Bacteria; Pseudomonadati; Pseudomonadota; Gammaproteobacteria; Legionellales; Legionellaceae
Description: bacterial SSU rRNA
Rfam family: Bacterial small subunit ribosomal RNA
Source: RNAcentral